Long non-coding RNA from Eptesicus fuscus (big brown bat), 263 nucleotides. RefSeq lists it as uncharacterized. Lineage: Eukaryota; Metazoa; Chordata; Mammalia; Chiroptera; Vespertilionidae. The record is from RefSeq and is a predicted model, not a curated record. The transcript has 3 exons.
GUGUAGUUUCAGCAGUUAAAGUCCCAACAACCCCGUCAUCACGCUACGAAGUUUCCAACUGUGGAAGAAAGGAGCAACAUGCUAACCUGACAAGCUCAGGGGAGGCCUGUGUGGCAAUCUUGCAAACUCAGAGACCUAAAAUAACCACAAAAAAAUGCUCUGAAAAUGAAAUAUUUAACUACAAACAGGUUACGUGAGCUCCUGCUGAUUGCUGCUUGGAAGCUCUUUGGGGCCUAGUGAGUGAAGCGUCUCCCAGUGUCUAC